GCUGGGCACAGAGGGGCUAUUUGUAGUUUGAUAGUCUCUGCUGAAUUAUUGAUGCCUCAGGACCUCCCCCUUGUUAACAAAUCGCCCUCUGCAUGAAAAUUUAAAGAGGCAAAUGAGGGCAAUCUCUCAACCCAUUAUUCCUUCUUCUUUUGCCAUCUGAGCUCUAAUUUUAAGUCAAUCGGCCCAGAAGUACUCUCUUGGGAGAUGGCACAGCUCAGACACCCCGACCCUGGGCCAGCAAAAUCCGUGUGUGAGAGCAGCAUCUGAGUUCUGAACCGUCCACGGAGUUAUGGUGCCUCUGACCAGGUGAUCACUGGCCACCUCAGUGUCACUGAACCAGGAAGUACCGCAUCUCAAAUACAGAAGAAGAUGAAAAGUUUCAGAACGUAGCCUAGGUUUGGCAUUUGGAUGCCUGGGAUGGCCUAGGAAAUAGUGGCUGCUGGAGUGGCCACAAGGACUGCUGCCAUCUAUACAAUCCUGGGGAAUGCUGAGGUGCAUGAUGGGAAUAUGACAGACAAGAUAGACUGGCAUGUGGACACCUUUGUCCUGGCACUUAUGACUAAUUCUUUAAUUGAUUCCUUUCUGACUUGCAUUCUUUUUCUGAGGCCACAUCCAGGAAAUGUCCUUGAAAAGAUUUUGCAUUGUGCCUGAAGUGAACUCAGAUCUCAGAAGAUGGCGUCCCUGCUGUCUAUAGGUUCCUGAAGACCCCUGCUGAGUUUAGUCCUGAUGACAGCCUGAAUUUUCCUUUCUAACAAAAUGUGGUCUGCAUUGAGAGAACCAGUCACCCGCAGGCAUAAAACAGAGAACUAGUGUGACAACAGGCCUGUUCUGUUUCAGAAAUUCCAAAGUGCACCUCUUUGUCUUCUUUUUAACUCAUGCAAACCAUUUUGCUUUCAUGGUCCACACACAUCUCAAGGUUGUGCACACUCCUAAUCAACAAUGCGCAGGGCUGUCUCUAAAAGAACACAGCAGACUUCAACGUCAAUGCCUUUGGUCCAUAAACACCCCCACCCCUUCCCCCCCCACACACACAUACACACAUGACUGUGAUCUUUGAACUUGGAAGGUAGAGGCAGGAGUAUUAGAAAGCUCUCCUUGGCUGUGUGGUAAGUUUAAAGCAAACCCAGGCUACAUGAAACAUAGUCUCAAAAUAAUUACUGAUAAAGACAAAUUUGUUAUGUUCAGGUACCUUGAGCUUGAACAGAGGCUGGCCCAGAGGAUCCCUGGAGUUUUUAAUGUUCUGCGUGUCCUGCCUUCAAAGGUUAUGCUUCAGCCUUAGGCUGGCUUUCCUCACAGAUUCACCAUGAUUCUAGCAAUUCUGGGUCUCACCCCAUCAUGCAGGAGAGAAGCUUUCUUUUCUGAGCAUUUCAGUCCAGGUCACGGAGCUAUGGCUGAAUCUCCGUCAGUGGCUAGACAGCAGGCUGUGCUAACUGACUUUAACCAACCAGAGCCCUGUCUGGAGCUAUGUGCAGCUCAUCUUUCACUGAUGUUUCCAGAAUGAGGCAUUAGGUGAUGAUGAAUGUCUGGAGAACAAUUUGGGAUAGUGUUGAGAAAGGUGAAGGGGAGAGGGCUAUUUCUUUAAUUAGUGGGAGAGUCUAACAGACCCAUUGUGGUCAGUCCCGAUGCCUUUUGAUCAUACCCCAUGACCCAAGGCCAGUCUUUCCACAUGCUGAGCUUCUCCCAGACGCCUCUUCCUGCUUAUGUGGAGCAUCGUCCCAUCUCUCUCCAUCUCUGCCUUCUCUCCAUCUUUCCCUUUUUGCUUUCUCAUGUCCUGAGAUUCUGUCUCAGUUUGAGCCACGCAGACCCUUUCACCCACUUUGGCUGGGUUAUUCUCAUCUCCUUAAUCAAGCCCUCCCAACAAGUUUUCCCUGGCCACCUGAUCCCCCCCCGCUGCCCCCGCCGCAUUCCCACCACCUGAUCAUCCCCUUUCCCUGUGACACUCCCACUGCCAUGCUUCCAUUCUCACUCACCCGUGGAAU
This is a long non-coding RNA of Mesocricetus auratus (golden hamster), 1979 nucleotides long. RefSeq lists it as uncharacterized. The transcript has 3 exons. Lineage: Eukaryota; Metazoa; Chordata; Mammalia; Rodentia; Cricetidae. The record is from RefSeq and is a predicted model, not a curated record.